CCGCAUUCCGCGCGGGCAAACACCACGUCGCGUCCUACCAGGCAAUGUCAGGAAGGAGGUUGCCUUUGAGCAUCGCUGUUUUCUCUAACGAGGAGGAAGCCAUUAAAACAGGAGCCUGGCCAGGCUCUUACCUGUGAAGAUGCAUUAUGCACAUUUUGCCCUCUUACUCUUUUUGAAUCUCUGCUCCUGGUCUUUCCCUGCCCCCGCCCCGCCCAGCUCCUACCGCCCCCGCCUCGGGGCUGAAUUGUGCUUUGAUUUUUGGGUGAAAGAUAAGUCACAAUUUAAAAGCGAAUUUCUUCAGGCAAAGACAUUAAUAAUACUUUAAUUAAAAUGCACUUGUAGGCCAGGCGCGGUGGCUCAUACCUGGCGCUUUAGGAGGCGCGGAGGCCAAGGCCGGGGAGGAUCGCUUCAUCUUAGGAGUUCGACACCGGCCACCAGCCUGGGCAUCUUAGAGAGACGCCGUCUCUACAAAAAA
RNAcentral lists this long non-coding RNA (475 nucleotides) under Homo sapiens (human). Its description in RNAcentral is "HSALNT0340598". The record is from RNAcentral. Lineage: Eukaryota; Metazoa; Chordata; Mammalia; Primates; Hominidae.